This 73-nucleotide transfer RNA is filed under the name Zootermopsis nevadensis. It matches the Rfam family "tRNA". From Rfam's summary of the family: Transfer RNA (tRNA) molecules are approximately 80 nucleotides in length. Their secondary structure includes four short double-helical elements and three loops (D, anti-codon, and T loops). Lineage: Eukaryota; Metazoa; Arthropoda; Insecta; Blattodea; Termopsidae. The record is from Rfam by way of RNAcentral.
GCCACGGUGGUCUAGCUGUUAGAACACUGGCUUUGUAAUCCUGGGGUCUCGGGUUCGAUUCCCGGCGGUGCCC